This is a non-coding RNA of Callithrix jacchus (white-tufted-ear marmoset), 1126 nucleotides long. The record is from RefSeq and is a predicted model, not a curated record. NCBI's taxonomy places the organism in Eukaryota, Metazoa, Chordata, Mammalia, Primates, Cebidae.
CUGUGGGAGAGGCAGUGCCUGAGCUGGGUCAGCUGCUGUGGGUCGCUCCCGCCUCCUGGCUGGAGGCACCAAAGAGGAGGAGAAGGGGGAGGAGGACGUCUCUGCCAUCGGCCUUAAGAAGGCUCUGGAAAAACGAGUGAGACGAGGAUGGAGAAGACCAAGUUUCGCUUCUUGGCCCCAGGCUGUUGCGCAGUUCCCCUGGAAUCUUUUUGAUCGAUUGUUACGUUGCCCAUGUCCUUGCCAGUGUCCCUAGCAGAAGUGAUGGCCAGAGAGAUAACUUUUGCACAUGUCAUGUUUUUGUGGCGAAAAUUUUAGUUUCAAGUUCCUUAUGAAGGCAGUUACCUAGUUUUAAAUUUUGUCACCUGUUGAGAGUGUACAAAAUCCCAUCUACAGUCAUAGUCGUUGGAAAUAUUUUCUUUUCUGAAAUAUAUCCAGAGGAAACAUAACCUUAUUCCUGUUCUUUAAUAUUUCUUGGUUUUAUACCAAGAAGCACUGUUCGGAAGACCAUGUUAGUGCUACAUUAUACACAGUGAGAAGCGAGCAAGUUUUUUGAUUAAAGGCAGCACUGUAAUUUUAAGUUGUGAUCUAUUACUUUUAUUCUGGAUAUGACGUGAUACUCUACAUUUGAUUUAGCAUGUUUUGUGGACUUCAUGGAAUAAGAGCAUGAUAAAAGCUAUUUGUUUCACCUCCAUAUACCAUGUUUACAGAUGUGGCUAAUCUUCAAAUACCUAACCAAAUUUAGACACUCAGGGAAGGUCAAUUAAGUUCGUGUAAAGUCUGAAUUGUUGACAGAAAGCUUACUUCAAAAAAAUAAAAUAAAUAAAUAAAUAAAAAGGCUGAGCGCGGUAGCUCAUGCCUGUAAUCCCAGCACUUUGGGAGGCCAAGGCUUGUGGAUCACUUGAGGUCAGGAGUUCGAGACCAGCCUGGCCAACAUGGUGAAACCCGGUCUUAAAAAAAAAAAAAUUAAAUUACUUUCACAUGUACAACUUCUUGUAGGACUUUGUAUGAUUGAUUAGAGUGAAUCGAUUUUAAAAAUUGUAACCCAGCCUGGAUUAGAUGCUGUAUUUUGGAAAUUUGCUAGAUUUACUCUUCUCCAAUAAAAUGCUGAAAAGUAUUGAUACCGUAA